RNAcentral lists this ribosomal RNA (408 nucleotides) under uncultured bacterium. Its description in RNAcentral is "partial 16S ribosomal RNA". It matches the Rfam family "Bacterial small subunit ribosomal RNA", at positions 28 to 526 of the family's 1533-position model. The record is from RNAcentral.
GACGAACGCUGGCGGCGUGCUUAACACAUGCAAGUCGAACGAAGUGGCGAACGGGUGAGUAACGCGUAAUCAACCUGCCCUUCAGCGGGGGACACCAGUUGGAAACGACUGCUCAUACCGCAUACUGAAGGAGGGGAUUGCGUCUGAUUCGCUAGUUGGAGGGGUAACGGCCCACCAAGGCGAUGAUCAGUAGCCGGUCUUAGAGGAUGGACGGCCAAAUUGGGACUGAGACACGGCCCAGACUCCUACGGGAGGCAGCCGUGGGGAAUCUUCCGCAAUGGACGAAAGGCUGACGGAGCAACGCCGCGGGAGUGGUGACGGCCUUCGGGUUGUAAAUCUCUGUUAAUCGGGACGCGGUACCGGAAUAGAAAGCCACGGCUAACUACGUGCCAGCAGCCGCGGUAAUUC